GACCAGACUCCUACGGGAGGCAGCAGUGGGGAAUAUUGGGCAAUGGGCGCAAGCCUGACCCAGCAACGCCGCGUGAAGGAAGAAGGCUUUCGGGUUGUAAACUUCUUUUCUCAGGGACGAAGAAAGUGACGGUACCUGAGGAAUAAGCCACGGCUAACUACGUGCCAGCAGCCGCGGUAAUACGUAGGUGGCAAGCGUUAUCCGGAUUUAUUGGGUGUAAAGGGCGUGUAGGCGGGAGCGCAAGUCAGAUGUGAAAACCACGGGCUCAACCUGUGGCCUGCAUUUGAAACUGUAGUUCUUGAGUGCUGGAGAGGCAGGCGGAAUUCCUGGGGUAGCGGUGAAAUGCGUAGAUAUUAGGAGGAACACCGGUGGCGAAGGCGGUCUGCUGGACAGCAACUGACGCUGAGGCGCGAAAGCGUGGGGAGCAAACAGGAUUAGAUACCCGGGUA
RNAcentral lists this ribosomal RNA (449 nucleotides) under uncultured bacterium. RNAcentral describes it as "partial 16S ribosomal RNA". It matches the Rfam family "Bacterial small subunit ribosomal RNA", at positions 329 to 792 of the family's 1533-position model. The record is from RNAcentral.